GGCAGGGUCUGUGUGGAGGAGGCUCGGGGUGCAGCGCUGCUAUUUAUACAGCACCGGGAAGCGCUGCGAGGUUGUGCUUGGCGGGGUGAAGAGCUUGUGAUCUCGGAGCACUUUGGGAUGUCAGACACUCCUGAGUUCUGCUUCGUGUGGCAGGAAAAGACUUCAGGAUGUUCCCUUCGUUUUGUGGUGUGGCAGAGCAGGGAAAAUUCACCCAAUGAUGGGCACUGCUAGCACUGCACUUGCCAGCCAAAUUUUCAAAAGAGCCCAGUUUGCUGACAUAAAUGGGGUUGCUGAUGUGCCGAAGGAGAAGGAAGCGCCGGAGAACAUAUUCCUCCCUAGGUCCAAGUCUCUCCCAUCUUAUCUUUCCCUUCCAUAUGUUUCCUCGGUAAUGAGAGGAAUUAUUUAUCAUUAAAGUGAUAUAUAAUUUAAAAAUUAAAGUUAAUGAAUGCUUAAAUUAAUUUACUGACAAAAACAAAUGUCUGUCCUUCAGAUCCUAUAAUUUUAAUUGGAGUGGGCUACGGCUUAAUUAACAUGUAUUGAUUGUAGUCCUGAGUACAUCUAUAGGUGGGUGGACUGUGUUGGGAGAAAUCCUCCUCAGAGAUGAAGAUUUGCUGAUAACAUUCUGAAUAAUUGUCUUGUGAAGAGACAGAAGUCUUUGCUGUUUUCUCUGCAGAAAGCUUUAAACAAAAGGUGCAUGAAGAAAACAGAAAAUUGGAAGAGAGUUGGAGCAAAUAAAGAAGCGGAUGCAACUGGAAACUUUUUGGGGGAUAAAAAGGUGGGUCAGGCUGUCUCCCCUGAGGCGGGGAUGUACCUGCAGAGCUGUGGGUGAGGAGCAGCUGGGAGAAUCCUCCUCCUCCAUCCCUGUGUUCCUGGGAGCCGUGUCCAUCCUCAGGGAUGCGGGAUGUGCCCGCGAAGCGUGACUUGGAUUUCCACUGCUGUGAAAAUGGAGAAUAAACCACCAGUGCAAUCCAGGAGAAACAGGAAGGAAAGUGACAUCUGAGCAGUCCCCACGCUGUCCUCCUCUGCCUGAAAUAACUCCUGUAGCGGAGCACGGCCUGGAGGUGUCUUGGAUCCUUUUGGGCAUCCAAGGGACGCUGAAAAACUGGAUGCUGCUGGAUGAAGAGCAUCUGAGGGGCAGUGACACAUGGCUUGAGCUGCAGGAUGGGCUCCCAGCAACCUGGAUUUUGAAGGAGCCCCCUCCCUGCUCACUGCACAGCAAUAGCUCCCGCUAGCACGUCCCAGGAGCAGCAAAAUGGCUCAGGCUUGUGUGGAAAUGGAAGGAUGAAGUGAGAAUUCAUUUUUCCUCGCUUUCCCAACCAGGAGAUUCAUGAGGUGGCUGGCAUGAGGGAACUGGUGGAAUGUGUUCCCUCCUGCCCUGCAGUGUUGAUCCCUGGCACUGUGAGGAUUAGCAGUGGUCAAAAGCAUCAGGAGGUGACCUUGCUCUGCCAUAAGAUCCCUCCCUUGUGGGCCUGAGCUGCCCAGGGAAAGCUGGCAGCACCCUGUGGACCGGACAGUUUUAUAACAUCAAGAAGAAUGGAAAAGCUGCAAGGCAUGCACACUCAAGACGCUGCACUCCUGGAAAGUUCUGGAUGGGCUCCAGGCAAUGUUUGGUGGCUAAGAAAGAUGAAGGUCUUGGAAAGAAGAGGAAAUAAUCAGCCAAGCCCUCAUCCUGCAAUAUUCCUGUUUCUGUGAGCUGGGAAUGCCAUUGGAGCAUGGGAAGGACAGAAAAAAUGCGUUCCUGCAACGUCACGUGUCUGAGGGUGGUUACAAGGACAAUGUUCUGGUUUUAGACUACCACAGCUCUCCUGGCUGGCCCAGUGUGAGGUGGCCACGGGCCUCCCACAGGAACCAAAAGGAAGUAAAAUCUUCACGUCACGUUAAGAUGGAUUGCAAAGCUUUUGUAAAGAUCUGUGGAAAAAGAGAAACCACUCAAGGAUGGGUCAGGCACUGCCUGGGCACAGCAGAUGCAGCUUAUCCAGGUCAGUCUGGGCUUGGUGGCACUGUCUGAUUUGUGCCCAUUUGGUGGCACCUGCUUUGGAAACAUUGCACAGGAGACAAAUUUUCUGGAGCCGUCUUCAUCCUUGGGCUUUAUCCUUUCCUACAACCUCCUGGGUUUUAGGAAAGCCUGGAUCUGAGAGGCCUCUGUGCAGGGGAUGGAUGGGCAGACUGGCUUUUCCCUUUCGUGCACUGGGGUGAAAUUAAAGGGAUUUCAGGAAAUAAAGCCGUGCUAACGAAGCUAAGCUGCCCUGGGAAAUGUUGUACCCAGAUUGUCCAAGGUGUGGGAAUCCCAGGCUUUCCCACUGCCCUGGCCAAGCUGCCAGCUUGCCUUCGUCUGGAAAGAGAGAUGGGCAUUAAUUGAGGGGUUCUAUUCUAUUUUGGGGGCAAAAGCAGGAUCUGGGCUGUGAGACACAUUCAGGGGGGUGCUGCUGCAUGCAGGGAUGGACUGGAGCAACCACCUGGAGGUGGGGGACCAGUCUGUGUCCCAAAAAUCAGGGGAGGCUGGAGAGAAACACAGCCAGGAGGUUAGUCCAGGUGAAUGGAGAAGUGACUCACAGAGAAUUUGGGGAGGGGAGAAACUUGUCUGGAAGGCAGGAGAGUCCUAAAGCAGUUCAUUUGUGUACACUCUGAUGUUCUUAGGACCCUGUUCUGGCUCUGACCAGUCCCAUCUGUGAUGAGCUGGCAGGGGUUUUAUGUAGGUCCAAACUGACAUUAAAUGCUCUAUUUCCUGCUUGCUGGUGGCUGUGCGAUUCAGAAGCUUUCCUGCAGAAGGCAGGGUCCUGGCAGUGCCCAGCAGCAAAGGCAGGAGCUGGAAACCUGCAGAUGAUCCAGCCCCUCCUGGUGCUUAUCCAAAAGAGUGCUGGGACUAUGAGCACCACGUUUUGGCUG
Long non-coding RNA from Parus major (Great Tit), 2886 nucleotides. RefSeq lists it as uncharacterized. Lineage: Eukaryota; Metazoa; Chordata; Aves; Passeriformes; Paridae. The record is from RefSeq and is a predicted model, not a curated record. The transcript is spliced from 8 exons.